This 497-nucleotide ribosomal RNA is filed under the name uncultured bacterium. RNAcentral describes it as "partial 16S ribosomal RNA". It matches the Rfam family "Bacterial small subunit ribosomal RNA", at positions 28 to 507 of the family's 1533-position model. The record is from RNAcentral.
GACGAACGCUGGCGGCGUGCCUAAUACAUGCAAGUUGAGCGCUGAAGGUUGGUACUUGUACCAACUGGAUGAGCAGCGAACGGGUGAGUAACGCGUGGGGAAUCUGCCUUUGAGCGGGGGACAACAUUUGGAAACGAAUGCUAAUACCGCAUAAAAACUUUAAACACAAGUUUUAAGUUUGAAAGAUGCAAUUGCAUCACUCAAAGAUGAUCCCGCGUUGUAUUAGCUAGUUGGUGAGGUAAAGGCUCACCAAGGCGAUGAUACAUAGCCGACCUGAGAGGGUGAUCGGCCACAUUGGGACUGAGACACGGCCCAAACUCCUACGGGAGGCAGCAGUAGGGAAUCUUCGGCAAUGGAUGAAAGUCUGACCGAGCAACGCCGCGUGAGUGAAGGAGGUUUUCGGAUCGUAAAACUCUGUUGGUAGAGAAGAACGUUGGUGAGAGUGGAAAGCUCAUCAAGUGACGGUAACUACCCAGAAAGGGACGGCUAACUACGUG